CCCUUAGAUGUCCUGGGCCGCACGCGCGUUACACUGAUGCAUUCAACGAGCUUAUAACCUUGGCCGAGAGGCCUGGGCAAUCUUGUUAACGUGCAUCGUGAUAGGGAUAGAUUAUUGAAAUUAUUAAUCUUGAACGAGGAAUUCCUAGUAAACGCAGAUCAUCAAUCUGCAUUGAUUACGUCCCUGCCCUUUGUACACACCGCCCGUCGCUCCUACCGAUUGAGCGAUCCGGUAAAUGUUUUGGAUUGGUGCCGGGGCGGCUAGCUGCCGGUCGCUACGAAAUUUUGUGAACCUUAUCGCUUAGAGGAAGGAAAAGUCGUAACA
Molecule: ribosomal RNA, 324 nt
Filed under: uncultured eukaryote
Lineage: Eukaryota
Description: partial 18S ribosomal RNA
Rfam family: Eukaryotic small subunit ribosomal RNA
Source: RNAcentral